This 304-nucleotide signal recognition particle RNA is filed under the name Capsicum annuum. Its description in RNAcentral is "Plant signal recognition particle RNA". It matches the Rfam family "Plant signal recognition particle RNA". Lineage: Eukaryota; Viridiplantae; Streptophyta; Magnoliopsida; Solanales; Solanaceae. The record is from Rfam by way of RNAcentral.
GCUGAGCUCAGUAACAUGGGCUUGUAACCCAAGUGGGGGCAUUAAUGUGGUAGAAUGCGUAGGCCUGUCCAAAGGGUAGGGCUUGUGUUGCGAUUCUCUGGCCUGCCCUCUCCAAGCACAGAGUUGGGUCACGUGGUCCAGGCGAAGGCUUGGGCAACUUGGCUCCUAAAGUGGGGUGGAUUGCGUGAGGCUGGUUGCACAGAGCAACGAACAGCUCCCGCUUUGGGCAGUGGAAGGAUUACAGGCCGGUGUUGCACAAGUCCAAGGAAUGCCUGAUGGGCUGCCUAACUAGACCACCACUUUU